Molecule: ribosomal RNA, 492 nt
Filed under: uncultured bacterium
Lineage: Bacteria
Description: partial 16S ribosomal RNA
Rfam family: Bacterial small subunit ribosomal RNA
Source: RNAcentral
AGUGAACGCUGGCGGCAGGCCUAACACAUGCAAGUCGAACGGCAGCACAGUAAUAGCUGGCUGUUACGGGUGGCGAGUGGCGGACGGUUGAUGAAGACAUCGGAAUCUACUGUGUCGUGUGUGAUAACGUAGGGAAACUUACGCGAAGACCGGAUACGACGUACUUGUGAAAGCAGGGGAUCGUCUGACCUGUCGGGAUUGAAUGGGCCGAUGUCGGAUUAGCUAGUUGGCUGGGUAAAGGCCCAACAAGGCGACGAUCGGUAGCUGGUCUGAGAGGAUGAUUCGCCAGCCUGGCACUGAGACACAGUCCCGACUCCUACGGGAGGACGCAGUGGGGACUAUUGCACAAUGGGGGAAAGCGUGAUCCAGCGCUACCGCGUGGGUGCAGACGGACCCAGGGUUGUAAAGUCAUUUUGUUGGGAAAGAAAAGCAGCAGUUUCAUCCCGCGCUGUUAUGACGGUACCCAAAGAAUAAGCACCGGCUAACUUCGUG